UAUUGCAGAACGGACUUGAUACUAAGGUUGAAAAGUCUAGGAAGCAAAUGAAGGAAAGAAAGAACAGAUCAAAGAAGAUUCGUGGAGUAAAGAAGACCAAGGCUGGCGAUGCUGCCAAAGGGUGGAAAGAAGAAAUAAGUUUUCAUCCAUUUUGUUAUGAUAUUAAAGGUUGUUUUGUUUUUGGUAUUUUCUUAAGGCUAUUCUAUAGUCUUGUAGCUUUCUAGAAUGGAGGAUUUUGCUGUAAUUGUCUUUCGUACUUUGUUGUUCACUACUUAUAUGUUUGAGACUGAGUACCAGCAGUGACCAAUUUUUUGAGAA
This is a long non-coding RNA of Trifolium pratense (red clover), 318 nucleotides long. RefSeq lists it as uncharacterized. Lineage: Eukaryota; Viridiplantae; Streptophyta; Magnoliopsida; Fabales; Fabaceae. The record is from RefSeq and is a predicted model, not a curated record. The transcript has 2 exons.